UUUCUUUGCACAAGACAAAUGGGCUGUCGCACUCCCGACGUAGGAAAUGAACACACACGUCGCUGAGAUCUUAAAAGACAAAGUAAGGUGUGCACUUCACCCAUGCAACUCCAAUGUCUGCUUCAUGGCAGUGCAAGCUUUUACAACCGUGCCCUUGAUUGUAACAAGCCAAAUAAACUGGAUAACAGAGAAAA
Molecule: long non-coding RNA, 194 nt
Organism: Ornithodoros turicata
Lineage: Eukaryota; Metazoa; Arthropoda; Arachnida; Ixodida; Argasidae
Exons: 2
Source: RefSeq, a predicted model, not a curated record